CCUACGGGAGGCAGCAGUGGGGAAUAUUGGGCAAUGGAGGAAACUCUGACCCAGCAACGCCGCGUGAAGGAUGAAGGUUUUCGGAUUGUAAACUUCUGUCGCGAGGGAUGAAGAAUGACGGUACCUCGUAAGAAAGCCCCGGCAAACUACGUGCCAGCAGCCGCGGUAAUACGUAGGGGGCGAGCGUUGUCCGGAAUGACUGGGCGUAAAGGGAGUGUAGGCGGCAUAUUAAGUUAUGUGUGAAAGCCCGCGGCUCAACCGCGGAAUUGCACAUAAAACUGGUAAGCUGGAGUGCAGGAGAGGUAAGUGGAAUUCCCGGUGUAGCGGUGGAAUGCGUAGAUAUCGGGAGGAACACCAGAGGCGAAGGCGACUUACUGGACUGUAACUGACGCUGAGGCUCGAAAGCGUGGGGAGCAAACAGGAUUAGAUACCCCAGUAGUC
This 441-nucleotide ribosomal RNA is filed under the name uncultured bacterium. Its description in RNAcentral is "partial 16S ribosomal RNA". It matches the Rfam family "Bacterial small subunit ribosomal RNA", at positions 338 to 795 of the family's 1533-position model. The record is from RNAcentral.